This is a non-coding RNA of Danio rerio (zebrafish), 67 nucleotides long. Lineage: Eukaryota; Metazoa; Chordata; Actinopteri; Cypriniformes; Danionidae. The record is from Rfam.
AUUUGAAACGUUUUGGCCAAAAAUGUAGCCAUGGCAAAGGGGUUUUUUGCAGAAACGUUUCAGAUUU